AAAUCACAAAAGCUGCAAUUUAAUAAGUAAGUAGUCUGUUGCACUGUGUAUUUCAGAGUGAAGCGCAGCUCUGUUGAUUUACAUGCAAGUUAGCUUGUGAUGCUGUGUUUUCAGCAUCUUGGUUCACAGUAAAUGCAUCCAUCUCUGCAGGUGCUGCAGUUUUAAAGAUGAAAUUACAUGUCUCGAUUAGCACUGUAUUUUUCAUACAUAUUGUUUAAUAAAUGCACUAGGUUUUUACAAUGGUAGAAUAACAUAAUAGUGAACGAAACCAAAUCAAUUUCUCAAGAAAUAGCUGAAAAUCUCAAACGCAGUGGCAUGGGGCAGAAAAUAUCAAGCAAGUACUGUGUGAUAUUCCACAUCAAUGUGUAGUUACAGAAAUGCAGGCAUGACUACACAUAUUUUUAAAUUCACAUAUUUUAAAAUUUCUUUAAAAUCAAGUCCAUCUGUGAAACAAGGAAAAAAAAUAUCUUUCUGUCCUCUAACUGGUAAAAAGUAUAAGGCGCAAUACACAUUUUGCCAAAAAACUUGAAAAGUGUGUUAUGUUGCAUAAACAUUAGGGGAUAUGGUUUUCCUCUGUUUUCCCCUCUCUGCUUCCUGUAACUUGCCACUAGGUUGCCCAAACAGAAACCGGAUGGCAAAUGGAAACUGCAGGGAAGAGGCUAUCAAGUGUUGAAAGAUUCAGAGAGAAUGCAACAGGAUCUGCAGAUAUGUCAGAUGAAGGCAGAUUCAUCUAAAGAAUCGUCCAGAGAGAAGAAGGAGAAAGACUCCAGUAAAGAAAAGGAGCCUAAGGUGUCGUCAAACGAGUCUAAAAGAGAGUCUGCAAAAGAGUCAAAGGAACCCUCAAAGGACAAGGAGUCAACCAGAGAGAAAGAGUCAUCAAAGGAGUCUGGGAAGGAGAAGACGAAGGUGUCCAGGAAGUCCUCAGUGAAGGUCAAAGAGAAGAAGUCAGAGGCAGGAGAUAGCUGAAUACAUUGACAGCUGCUGCACUGAUACAGUUCUGAGGCUCUUUAUUAGUCGGGUUGUCUGUGUAAAGGUUAAUACCUCAUCCUGAUGUUUUGCUGUAAUUCUAGAGUUGAUAGCAUAGUGGCAGAAUUUUUUUUUUAAAAGUGCAUGUUUUCACUGUCUUUGAGGGCAAGUGGACAUGUAGGAGGGGUUUAUAUUUAAACUCAGCUGUCUGCCACUGCAGCAUGUAGUCUGUGUGUCCAUCGUCUCCUAUUGCUCAGUGUGACGUCGGAUCACGGGCACCACGAAAAAUAACCACACCAUCUUAUCUGUGCUGCCUGUCUCACUGUCUGUUUGUGUGACAUUCAGAGCUUUUUAAAUUCCAAUCCAAUUUCUGAAUUUGAAUUAUAUACAGAAUUGCAAUUCAGACUAAAAUAGAAUGAAAUUUAUAUGGACGUGUAGUUUUUAACAAUCCAUUUUAUUUAUCAGGAUGAAAGACCCAUACGAAUGUAAUCAAAUCAACUCUUGAAUUCAAAAAGAGCUGAUUCUUAAAUUCUGAAUUUUGCACAACACUGUUGUGGGUCUACAUUUGUCUCCCUUUCUUCAUGAUGCGGCAGAGUGAGACAUGCAGUUUCUUAUAAACACACACACACACACACACGCAGUCUCAUUCAUACCUAUAUAGAGAAUUCAAGGCCAUAGCAGUGGAUAAUCAUGUACAUACUAUUUUUAUAGUUUUCAUAUAUAUGUGUUCUUAGAAGUAGUAGUAGGCCUAUUUGUAGGUCAUUUUGUCUAAUGUUCCUUAUCUGUAGAAAAUUGUUUGCAUAAAACAAUGUGUAAAAUGAAUGUCAGAAUAAUCUACCUUUACAUCGUAGAAGUCAUCAGAAACAUUCAUAAUACAAAAAUAUCACAUCAUGUUACAUUUUAUAUCAAGAUUUUAAAAGUUGUACCUUUAUUAUUAUUAUUAUGUUCUUUGUUCCAGUUGUUGAAUCAAUAUUACAUUCAUACUAAAGUUUGUUAUAUAGAUUUUAAUGUGAUCUUUUGGUACCAGCUAUGUAUUCUUAGGAAACAUUUCCCUUUAAACCUGAAGCAUUAGAGAGAUCAGUCUCUCCUGUAAAUCGAUUACACUGUCAAUUGAGGCAAUAAAAAUGUCACUCAAUAAUAUAACUUACA
Cyprinus carpio (common carp) is the source of this 2115-nucleotide long non-coding RNA. The record is from Ensembl. Lineage: Eukaryota; Metazoa; Chordata; Actinopteri; Cypriniformes; Cyprinidae.